CGUAUUGAAAUGUGCUAUGUUCUGGUUGAACCUCCUCUCCCCCAUCUCCCUGUUCCCCACUGUUGCUUAAGCCCUUCUAUCCCCCAGUGUUUCCCCUUUUACUUUUGUAUUAUUUGUUUUCUAUCAUCAUUUCCAUCCCUUACCCUAAAGCCUCUUUUUCGUCCUCUCAUGUGCCCAUUUCUAGUUUCCUAGCAUCUACACGCACUCCCUCAUUCACACGUAUAGAAAACGAGGAACCAGGGUGCACACAGGAGAGGGAAUGUGAGAUAUCUCUCUCAACUUAUUUGCCCAGGUUCUCUCACUAAAUGUUUUCGAGUUCCAUCCAUUUCCCUAUACAUUUCGUUUUUCACUAUGGCUGACCCAAAUCCCAUUCACAUGUGUACCACCGUUCAUUUUUUCUUCACUAGUCGAUGGCUGAUUCCGGAUCCUUACUACCGUGAUCCCAGCAGCAGUUAGCACGGAUGGGCAGGUGCCUCUGUGGAGGGAUGAAGAGUCCUUUGCUCACCCUCAUUCUUUCAAAAGGAGCCACCGGAUUAGGCAUUCAGUCCCCUUAAGUAUUAUGUAUCAGCACCCGUCCUUACAUCCUGUGAAUUUUAUGGGCGGC
This 604-nucleotide long non-coding RNA is filed under the name Rattus norvegicus (Norway rat). RNAcentral describes it as "long non-coding RNA NONRATT005021". The record is from RNAcentral. Lineage: Eukaryota; Metazoa; Chordata; Mammalia; Rodentia; Muridae.